AUACGGAGGAUCCGAGCGUUAUCCGGAUUUAUUGGGUUUAAAGGGAGCGUAGGCGGACGCUUAAGUCAGUUGUGAAAGUUUGCGGCUCAACCGUAAAAUUGCAGUUGAUACUGGGUGUCUUGAGUACAGUAGAGGCAGGCGGCAUUCGUGGUGUAGCGGUGAAAUGCUUAGAUAUCACGAAGAACUCCGAUUGCGAAGGCAGCCUGCUGGACUGUAACUGACGCUGAUGCUCGAAAGUGUGGGUAUCAAACAGGAUUAGAUACCCUGGUAGUCCACACAGUAAACGAUGAAUACUCGCUGUUUGCGAUAUACAGUAAGCGGCCAAGCGAAAGCGUUAAGUAUUCCACCUGGGGAGUACGCCGGCAACGGUGAAACUCAAAGGAAUUGACGGGG
Molecule: ribosomal RNA, 393 nt
Filed under: uncultured bacterium
Lineage: Bacteria
Description: partial 16S ribosomal RNA
Rfam family: Bacterial small subunit ribosomal RNA
Source: RNAcentral